UUUAUAUGAGAGUUUGAUCCUGGCUCAGGAUGAACGCCGGCGGUGUGCCUAAUACAUGCAAGUCGUACGCACUGGCCCAACUGAUUGAUGGUGCUUGCACCUGAUUGACGAUGGAUCACCAGUGAGUGGCGGACGGGUGAGUAACACGUAGGUAACCUGCCCCGGAGCGGGGGAUAACAUUUGGAAACAGAUGCUAAUACCGCAUAACAAUAAAAGCCGCAUGGCUUUUAUUUGAAAGAUGGCUUUGGCUAUCACUCUGGGAUGGACCUGCGGUGCAUUAGCUAGUUGGUAAGGUAACGGCUUACCAAGGCGAUGAUGCAUAGCCGAGUUGAGAGACUGAUCGGCCACAAUGGAACUGAGACACGGUCCAUACUCCUACGGGAGGCAGCAGUAGGGAAUCUUCCACAAUGGGCGCAAGCCUGAUGGAGCAACACCGCGUGAGUGAAGAAGGGUUUCGGCUCGUAAAGCUCUGUUGUUGGAGAAGAACGUGCGUGAGAGUAACUGUUCACGCAGUGACGGUAUCCAACCAGAAAGUCACGGCUAACUACGUGCCAGCAGCCGCGGUAAUACGUAGGUGGCAAGCGUUAUCCGGAUUUAUUGGGCGUAAAGCGAGCGCAGGCGGUUGCUUAGGUCUGAUGUGAAAGCCUUCGGCUUAACCGAAGAAGUGCAUCGGAAACCGGGCGACUUGAGUGCAGAAGAGGACAGUGGAACUCCAUGUGUAGCGGUGGAAUGCGUAGAUAUAUGGAAGAACACCAGUGGCGAAGGCGGCUGUCUGGUCUGCAACUGACGCUGAGGCUCGAAAGCAUGGGUAGCGAACAGGAUUAGAUACCCUGGUAGUCCAUGCCGUAAACGAUGAGUGCUAGGUGUUGGAGGGUUUCCGCCCUUCAGUGCCGGAGCUAACGCAUUAAGCACUCCGCCUGGGGAGUACGACCGCAAGGUUGAAACUCAAAGGAAUUGACGGGGGCCCGCACAAGCGGUGGAGCAUGUGGUUUAAUUCGAAGCUACGCGAAGAACCUUACCAGGUCUUGACAUCUUGCGCUAACCUUAGAGAUAAGGCGUUCCCUUCGGGGACGCAAUGACAGGUGGUGCAUGGUCGUCGUCAGCUCGUGUCGUGAGAUGUUGGGUUAAGUCCCGCAACGAGCGCAACCCUUGUUACUAGUUGCCAGCAUU
This 1170-nucleotide ribosomal RNA is filed under the name Limosilactobacillus reuteri. RNAcentral's name for it is "bacterial SSU rRNA". It matches the Rfam family "Bacterial small subunit ribosomal RNA", at positions 1 to 1125 of the family's 1533-position model. The record is from RNAcentral. Lineage: Bacteria; Bacillati; Bacillota; Bacilli; Lactobacillales; Lactobacillaceae.